Molecule: long non-coding RNA, 1994 nt
Organism: Vulpes vulpes (red fox)
Lineage: Eukaryota; Metazoa; Chordata; Mammalia; Carnivora; Canidae
Source: Ensembl
GGGGGGGGCACGGCUCCCUCUAAGCGUGACGGAGCUGGAGGCGCUGGCUUACUUCUUCCCUUCAUUCUGCUGUCAGUGACCGAGAUCCCCCUUUAAACGUGCCUUGCCUUUGUCCAGAUGCUCUUUGUCACAUCACUCGGUGUAAUUAGGAACGACAAUAAACUCCCUCCUCCACGUAUUUUUAGUGGAAAAUAAAAACACAUUUUCUAAUCCGGAACCGCACAUCGCAGGAGAAUUGAGAGGACCUGGCUGAUGGAGGGCUUGGGGGGGGCGGAGGAGGAGUCCUGAAGCUUCCAGGAGGAGAGAAAAAGCUUCCAGGUUUUCUUAAAAGGCCCUUGUAAGGCGGGUUGGCGCGCGGGGGCCCUGGUGGUGCGCGCGGCAGGUCGCAGGACGGUGGCUUCAGGGGCAGCCGGGCUGCAGGCCCGCAGUCUGUUGGCGGAACGACUCUGGACUUGGAUCUAACAAAGCCCAUAAAAAGAGGCUCGGAGACUUGUUUUCCGGCCUUGCAGGAGUCCGGGUGGUUUUAAAUGAAGGGCAGAUGUAGCCCGAGGCCUCAGGCUGCCUCCCCCAGUCCUGCUGCAACCUUGUUAAAAGAUAAAAAGAAAGGCAGGACUUUUACGGGAAGAAAGAAGCCGCGGGGCCAGGAGGCUGCUGGGCUGCCGGAGAGGGCCCAGGGGCACGGGUGCACAGGUCUUCCAGAGCCGCUUCUCUCCCUGCUGACGUCGUGGCUCCAGGCUGUCCCCCGCGUCCCCUCCCAGAAGGCAGCCGGAGUGGCCCAUGUCCCAGGUGCGACCACGCUGCUGCCCCGGAGUCCUCCCAAGGCUCCAGGUGCUGCUGGGGGGAAGCCAGACACCCUCGCAGCCCCUCGCACGCCCCGGCUCCCUCUCGCCUUCCGCCCGGCGUCGGGCCCACUGGGGGCCUGCACGGACCGCUGGGCUGCAGGACUUUCUCGGAGUCAGGAGGGCGCCGGGCCUGCUCAGCCAGGGGGUGGCCAGGGCCGAGACCCUGCUUGGAUGCCUCGGGAGCCACCGGCAGCAGGCAGGGAGGAGCGGGAACUGGAGACAGAGCAGCCCGCUGCCAGUGGCCACCUUGGGGCGAGCCCCUCCCAGGCUCCCAGCGGCCCCGGGGGAUUGUGUCCCAGGGUCUUCCCAGGGCCCCGCUUGUUCCUGAAUUCCACUUUCCUCUUUUCCCCUGUUGUUACGGACUGAAUGUUUGUGACUCCCAAAAUACACGUGUUCAAGCCCUAACCCCCUACAUGAUGGGACUAGGAGGUGAGUAGGCCCCGGGGGCGGCACGCUGGUGAUGGGCUCCGGGAGCUUUUAUGGGGUUGCAAGGAGCUUGCUUCCUCGCUCUGUUUUCCGCAGGUGAGGACCCAGGGAAGUCGACGGUCUGUAACCUGGAGGAGGCUCUCACCACAGCUGACCACGUUCACACGUGACGUCAGACCUCCGGCCUCCAGAACGGAGAGAAGCCAGGUCCGGUUGUUUCAAAGCUGCUCAACCUACGCUAGUUUGUCACAGCAGCCUGAGCUGGGGGGACCUGCAUGUGACACCCCGGCCCUUCCUUCUGCUGGAGUGUGAACUUCUCCUUGGUUAUGGGUUCGGGCGUUCCUGGGCCGCCUCCCCUGAAAGUAGCUACUCUGCUCUGUGCUCCUGGGGCAUCUGGCUCCGUCCUCUGGCUGACCCGCUGGUUGUCAUCAUCUGUCCCCUUGCCUGUGUGGUCCGGGAAGCGGGUCCCUUCAUGUCUGUGUGGCUGGCCCAGCACCUGGCACAUAGUAGGGGUGCAACGGAUUUGUGUUUGGGGUGCCACAGGAUGCACACUUGCGAGUGCUAGCAUUCUGGGCUUAGAAACAGCAGCAAAGGGCAGCCCGGGUGGCUCAGCGGUGUAGCGCCGCCUUCGGCCCAGGGUGCGAUCCUGCAGUCCUGGGAUCGAGUCCUGCAUCGGGUUCUUGCAUGGAGCCUGCUUCUCCCCCUGCCUGUGUUUCUGCCUCUCUC